CAGUGUCUCAGCUAAUGUAAUUCCACCUCUAUUGCUGGUGCUGCUUAGAUGGCUGAUUAACUCCAUGGAUAAUCUCCCUAUGGACUGAUUGUCCAGCCAUCUUUGAUGUUCUCUCUGGAAAACAUUUUCUCAUUUUUUUGCAAUAUGAAUAGAAUGAUAGAUUUUCCAAAUCUUCAAGUUCUGGUUCCACUUUAACAGUUUUUUUUUUCAUUUUCUUCCUUUCUUUCUUUCUCUUUCUUUCUUUCUCUUUUCUUUCUCCUUCCUUCCUUCCUCUCUUUCUUUCUCUCUCUUUCCUUCCUUCCUUCCUCUCUCUCUUUCUUUCUCUCUCUCUUUCCUUCCUUCCUUCUUUCUAUCUCUCUUUUUCUUUCUUCUAAAUUGAGACAGCAUCUUGGUUUGUCACCCAAGCUGGAGUACAGUGGCUCAGCUCACUGCAAUCUCGAUCUUCUGGGCUCAAGUGAUCCUUCUGCCUCAGCCUCCCAAGUAGCUGGGACCACAAGUGCAUGCUACCAACAGGCCUGACUAUUUUUUUUCUAUUUUUCUGUAGAUACAGGGCCUUGCUAUGCUGCCCAGGCUGGUCUCAAACUCCCGAGUUCAAGCGAUCUUGCCUUGGCCUCCCAAAGUCCUGAGAGUACAAGAGUGAGCCACCACACCCAGCCAAGAAAUUUUUCAGUUUC
Molecule: long non-coding RNA, 674 nt
Filed under: Homo sapiens (human)
Lineage: Eukaryota; Metazoa; Chordata; Mammalia; Primates; Hominidae
Description: non-protein coding lnc-MEI4-13:1
Source: RNAcentral